AGAGUUUGAUCAUGGCUCAGAACGAACGCUGGCGGCAUGCCUAACACAUGCAAGUCGAACGGGAUCCUAGCUUGCUAGGUGAGAGUGGCGCACGGGUGCGUAACGCGUGGGAAUCUGCCCUUGGGUUCGGAAUAACAGCGAGAAAUUGCUGCUAAUACCGGAUGAUGACGUAAGUCCAAAGAUUUAUCGCCCAAGGAUGAGCCCGCGUAGGAUUAGCUAGUUGGUGAGGUAAAGGCUCACCAAGGCGACGAUCCUUAGCUGGUCUGAGAGGAUGAUCAGCCACACUGGGACUGAGACACGGCCCAGACUCCUACGGGAGGCAGCAGUGGGGAAUAUUGGACAAUGGGCGAAAGCCUGAUCCAGCAAUGCCGCGUGAGUGAUGAAGGCCUUAGGGUUGUAAAGCUCUUUUACCCGGGAUGAUAAUGACAGUACCGGGAGAAUAAGCUCCGGCUAACUCCGUG
This 461-nucleotide ribosomal RNA is filed under the name uncultured bacterium. Its description in RNAcentral is "bacterial SSU rRNA". It matches the Rfam family "Bacterial small subunit ribosomal RNA", at positions 8 to 507 of the family's 1533-position model. The record is from RNAcentral.